CCCUUAGAUGUUCUGGGCCGCACGCGCGCUACACUGUUCGACGCAGCGAGUCUUAACCUUGACCGAAAGGUUUGGGUAAUCUUCAGCAAAGUCGAACGUGAUGGGGAUCGAUCAUUGCAGUUAUUGAUCGUGAACGAGGAAUUCCUAGUAAGUGCAAGUCAUCAGCUUGCGCUGAUUACGUCCCUGCCCUUUGUACACACCGCCCGUCGCUACUACCGAUUGAAUGGUUUAGUGAGAUCUCUGGAUUGACGCUGGCUAGGGGGCGACCCUUGGCCAGGCUGUCGAGAAACUGCUCAAACUUGAUCAUUUAGAGGAAGUAAAAGUCGUAACA
This 331-nucleotide ribosomal RNA is filed under the name uncultured eukaryote. Its description in RNAcentral is "partial 18S ribosomal RNA". It matches the Rfam family "Eukaryotic small subunit ribosomal RNA", at positions 1470 to 1796 of the family's 1831-position model. The record is from RNAcentral.